ACCUCAGAUCCCUUUUUCGUUCAGUUUUCUAUCUAAUCAUCUUGAUUCUCUCUUCUCCACUCAGUUAUUCACUUCUUGAACAAAUAUUCCCUGAGCAUCAGCAGGAGACAGAAUGUGAAGAACUAGAGGAGGAACCAGACAUGCCCUCAGGAACUCACAGUCUGGUGGACUUUCCACUCCUGGUAAAUCUCAGCCCUCUGAGCCACCAGUCCUUCACCUCCUACUGUCCCCUGGGAAGACUUCCUCCAGACCUGAAACACUCCUGCUACAUCACCUCAGGUCUCUGGACAACCAGAACCCCAAAAAUGACACAAAGUGCUCAGGGGCUCAGGUCUGGAAGGCUUCAGAUGCAGGAGUUGCAGGAGCAGCCUCCCCAUUCAACAUUACACACUGAAGUUCAGCUUUCCACUGGCUUUAC
This 418-nucleotide long non-coding RNA is filed under the name Chinchilla lanigera (long-tailed chinchilla). Its description in RNAcentral is "lncRNA (ENSCLAG00000028434.1)". Lineage: Eukaryota; Metazoa; Chordata; Mammalia; Rodentia; Chinchillidae. The record is from RNAcentral.